This 501-nucleotide ribosomal RNA is filed under the name uncultured bacterium. Its description in RNAcentral is "bacterial SSU rRNA". It matches the Rfam family "Bacterial small subunit ribosomal RNA", at positions 30 to 504 of the family's 1533-position model. The record is from RNAcentral.
CGAACGCUGGCGGCGUGCCUAACACAUGCAAGUCGAACGAGAAACUUCCCGCUUGCGGGAGGGAGUACAGUGGCGCACGGGUGAGUAACGCGUGGGUAACCUGCCCUUUAAUCUGGGAUAACUCUGCGAAAGCGGUGCUAAUACCGGAUACGGUUUCGAAGACUGUGGUUUUCGGGAUUAAAGGUGACCUCUUUAUAAAAGUUGCCGUUAUAGGAUGGGCCCGCGUACCAUUAGCUUGUUGGUAGGGUAAUGGCCUACCAAGGCUGCGAUGGUUAGCUGGUCUGAGAGGAUGAUCAGCCACACUGGAACUGAAACACGGUCCAGACUCCUACGGGAGGCAGCAGUGAGGAGUUUUGCGCAAUGGGGGAAACCCUGACGCAGCAACGCCGCGUGAGCGAAGAAGGCCUUCGGGUCGUAAAGCUCUGUCAAGUGGGAAAAACGUGUCCCGGUCAAUAGCCGGGAGAUCUGAUGGUACCACUGGAGGAAGCACCGGCUAACUCC